This 390-nucleotide ribosomal RNA is filed under the name uncultured Anaerolineaceae bacterium. Its description in RNAcentral is "bacterial SSU rRNA". It matches the Rfam family "Bacterial small subunit ribosomal RNA", at positions 980 to 1378 of the family's 1533-position model. Lineage: Bacteria; Bacillati; Chloroflexota; Anaerolineae; Anaerolineales; Anaerolineaceae. The record is from RNAcentral.
UUUGACAUAUAAGUAGUAGGGAUCUGAAAAGUGACCGACCCUUUCGGGGAGCUUAUACAGGUGCUGCAUGGCUGUCGUCAGCUCGUGCCGUGAGGUGUCCGGUUAAGUCCGGUAACGAGCGCAACCCCCACUGUAUGUUACAAGUGUCAUACGGAACUGCCGGUAUCAAGCCGGAGGAAGGUGGGAUGACGUCAAGUCAGCAUGGCCUUUAUAUCCGGGGCUACACACACGCUACAAUGGCCAGUACAAUGGGUUUGCAAGACCGCGAGGUGGAGCCAAUCCUCAAAGCUGGUCUCAGUUCAGAUUGUAGGCUGCAACCCGCCUACAUGAAGUCGGAGUUGCUAGUAACCGCAGGCCAGCCAUACUGCGGUGAAUACGUUCUCGGGGAUU